RNAcentral lists this ribosomal RNA (352 nucleotides) under Ixodes scapularis (black-legged tick). RNAcentral's name for it is "partial 16S ribosomal RNA". The record is from RNAcentral. Lineage: Eukaryota; Metazoa; Arthropoda; Arachnida; Ixodida; Ixodidae.
GGUAUUGAAAUAAGAUUUUAAAUGAGUGCUAAGAGAAUGAUUAAACAAUUAAAAGCUUUCUUUAAUUAAAUAAUUAAAUUUAAUUUUUUUAGUGCAAAAGCAAAAAUAAAAUUUAGGGACAAGAAGACCCUAUGAAUUUUUAUUGUUAAUAAUUAAAAUUUAAAUUAUUAAUAAUUUAAUUGGGGCGAUAAAAAAAGAAUAAGUAUCUUUUUAGUUAUAAAAUAAGUUCCGUUUUUAGCGAUUAAAUGAAAUAAAUACUCUAGGGAUAACAGCGUAAUAAUUUUGGAUAGUUCAUAUAGAUAAAAUAGUUUGCGACCUCGAUGUUGGAUUAGGAUUCUUUUUUGGUGAAGAA